CUUUCAAAAGAUAUUCAAUGAAGCACAAAGUUUAAUACCACUUUACAUUUAGUAUUCUUUCUCUCAUCUUUAGUUGUGAAUUUACAUGAUUAAGUUCUAUAUGAUCUCUCCCUCUGAAAUUUUCUUUCUCCCCCUUAAUUAAUCAUUCCAUUUGAGAGUUUUAGAAUUUGAAGAUAAUGUUCAAUAAAAUUGUCAAUCUCGAAAAUAUAUUCUAUUUUCAUAAGACUCAAGGUUUGAGAUAAGACAACCUUUAUAGAACUCAUCUCAAGGUAUAAAUUUAUUAUAUAAUUAAAGCAAGUCUUGCAAUAUAAGGAAGUUCAUCAAAAUCAAUCCAUAAAAUUCAAGGUAUGCAUCAAAUUAAGGUAACUUUAGGAUAAGAUACUGAAUAUCUAAAGCUCCCCCUUAAAAGAUGCAUUCUUCUUUAAUUAUUCUUAUCUUUUGUUGAAUUUCAGAUUUUAAUGAUAAACGUGAAUAAACUGAAACUUUAUGAUAUCAAGAAUGUAGAGUGAUCUAAAAUUAUUCAAAAUUUAUAGCAAUCACUCUUUUUUAAUCUUUUAAGAACAAGUUAUGCUUCCUCUUAAUCUUUGAGAAAAUGUACUGAAAUAUUAAUCAGAAAAUGAUUCAUUUGAAGCUCAAAUUCUUUCAAAAGCAUUUACAUUUUCUUUCUUUUAAGAAUCAUUUGAGUGAGCUGAAAUAUUUCUAGACUUAAGAUCAUUCACUCUUUUAAUAAUAUA
RNAcentral lists this long non-coding RNA (734 nucleotides) under Phoenix dactylifera (date palm). Its description in RNAcentral is "long non-coding RNA (PDAC_LNC012130)". The record is from RNAcentral. Lineage: Eukaryota; Viridiplantae; Streptophyta; Magnoliopsida; Arecales; Arecaceae.